ACCGCAUAACGUCGCAAGACCAAAGUGGGGGACCUUCGGGCCUCAUGCCAUCAGAUGUGCCCAGAUGGGAUUAGCUAGUAGGUGGGGUAACGGCUCACCUAGGCGACGAUCCCUAGCUGGUCUGAGAGGAUGACCAGCCACACUGGAACUGAGACACGGUCCAGACUCCUACGGGAGGCAGCAGUGGGGAAUAUUGCACAAUGGGCGCAAGCCUGAUGCAGCCAUGCCGCG
Molecule: ribosomal RNA, 231 nt
Filed under: Klebsiella pneumoniae
Lineage: Bacteria; Pseudomonadati; Pseudomonadota; Gammaproteobacteria; Enterobacterales; Enterobacteriaceae
Description: partial 16S ribosomal RNA
Rfam family: Bacterial small subunit ribosomal RNA
Source: RNAcentral